UAGGAAGGAAACACCUGAACUAAAUGGA
Molecule: non-coding RNA, 28 nt
Filed under: Callithrix jacchus (white-tufted-ear marmoset)
Lineage: Eukaryota; Metazoa; Chordata; Mammalia; Primates; Cebidae
Also listed under: 1 other name
Source: RNAcentral